Molecule: ribosomal RNA, 852 nt
Filed under: Helotiales sp.
Lineage: Eukaryota; Fungi; Ascomycota; Leotiomycetes; Helotiales
Description: partial large subunit ribosomal RNA
Rfam family: Eukaryotic large subunit ribosomal RNA
Source: RNAcentral
GCCUCAGUAACGGCGAGUGAAGCGGCAACAGCUCAAAUUUGAAAUCUGGCCUCACGGUCCGAAUUGUAAUUUGUAGAGGAUGUUUCGAACGUGGUCCGGUCUAAGUUCCUUGGAACAGGACGUCAUAGAGGGUGAGAAUCCCGUAUGCGACUGGGUGCCUAAGUUCAUGUGAAACUCCUUCGACGAGUCGAGUUGUUUGGGAAUGCAGCUCAAAAUGGGUGGUAAAUUUCAUCUAAAGCUAAAUACUGGCCAGAGACCGAUAGCGCACAAGUAGAGUGAUCGAAAGAUGAAAAGCACUUUGGAAAGAGAGUUAAACAGUACGUGAAAUUGUUGAAAGGGAAGCGCUUGCAAUCAGACUUGCAUGCAGUUGAUCAUCCGGUGUUCUCACCGGUGCACUCAGCUGCAUUCAGGCCAGCAUCAGUUUCGGUGGUUGGAUAAAGGCUCUGGGAACGUAGCUUCUUUCGGGGAGUGUUAUAGCCCAGGGUGCAAUGCAGCCUACCGGGACUGAGGACCGCGCUUCGGCUAGGAUGCUGGCGUAAUGGUUGUAAGCGACCCGUCUUGAAACACGGACCAAGGAGUCUAACAUUUAUGCGAGUGUUUGGGUGUCAAACCCAUACGCGUAAUGAAAGUGAACGGAGGUGAGAACCCUUAAGGGUGCAUCAUCGACCGAUCCUGAUGUCUUCGGAUGGAUUUGAGUAAGAGCAUAACUGUUGGGACCCGAAAGAUGGUGAACUAUGCGUGGAUAGGGUGAAGCCAGAGGAAACUCUGGUGGAGGCUCGCAGCGGUUCUGACGUGCAAAUCGAUCGUCAAAUCUGCGUAUAGGGGCGAAAGACUAAUCGAACCAUCUGAACC